This 418-nucleotide ribosomal RNA is filed under the name Madagascaria erythrocladioides. RNAcentral describes it as "partial Bacterial large subunit ribosomal RNA". It matches the Rfam family "Bacterial large subunit ribosomal RNA", at positions 31 to 504 of the family's 2925-position model. Lineage: Eukaryota; Rhodophyta; Compsopogonophyceae; Erythropeltidales; Erythrotrichiaceae. The record is from RNAcentral.
GCCUUGGCACUGAGAGGCGAUGAAGGACGUGGCACGCUGCGAUAAGCCUCGGGGAGCUGCGAGCAGGCUUUGAUCCGAGGAUGUCCGAAUGGGGCAACCCAACCCUUCGGGGUUAUCGUGCGCUGAAUACAUAGGCGUACGAGGCGAACCCGGUGAACUGAAACAUCUCAGUAACCGGAGGAAAAGACAUCAACAGAGAUUCCGCCAGUAGUGGCGAGCGAAAGCGGAACAGGCCAGUGGCCUGGCGUAACGAACGGGAACGGCCUGGAAAGGCCGGCCAUAGCGGGUGACAGCCCCGUACCGGUAGGUUGCGUCAGGUCCUUGAGUAGGGCGGGACACGAGAAAUCCUGUCUGAACAUGGGAGGACCACCUUCCAAGCCUAAAUACUCCUCAGUGACCGAUAGUGAACCAGUACCGU